AUUGAACGCUGGCGGCAGGCCUAACACAUGCAAGUCGAGCGGAUGAGGGGAGCUUGCUCCUGGAUUCAGCGGCGGACGGGUGAGUAAUGCCUAGGAAUCUGCCUGGUAGUGGGGGAUAACGUCCGGAAACGGGCGCUAAUACCGCAUACGUCCUGAGGGAGAAAGUGGGGGAUCUUCGGACCUCACGCUAUCAGAUGAGCCUAGGUCGGAUUAGCUAGUUGGUGGGGUAAAGGCCUACCAAGGCGACGAUCCGUAACUGGUCUGAGAGGAUGAUCAGUCACACUGGAACUGAGACACGGUCCAGACUCCUACGGGAGGCAGCAGUGGGGAAUAUUGGACAAUGGGCGAAAGCCUGAUCCAGCCAUGCCGCGUGUGUGAAGAAGGUCUUCGGAUUGUAAAGCACUUUAAGUUGGAAGGAAGGGCAGUAAGUUAAUACCUUGCUGUUUUGACGAUACCAACAGAAUAAGCACCGGCUAACUUCGUG
This 484-nucleotide ribosomal RNA is filed under the name uncultured bacterium. Its description in RNAcentral is "partial 16S ribosomal RNA". It matches the Rfam family "Bacterial small subunit ribosomal RNA", at positions 30 to 507 of the family's 1533-position model. The record is from RNAcentral.